This 741-nucleotide ribosomal RNA is filed under the name uncultured Candidatus Poseidoniales archaeon. Its description in RNAcentral is "bacterial SSU rRNA". It matches the Rfam family "Archaeal small subunit ribosomal RNA", at positions 102 to 857 of the family's 1478-position model. The record is from RNAcentral. Lineage: Archaea; Methanobacteriati; Thermoplasmatota; Candidatus Poseidoniia; Candidatus Poseidoniales.
GGGUAACCUGCCCUAUCGUUUUGAAUAACCUCGGGAAACUGAGAACAAUACAUCAUAGUCCACUACGCCUGGAACGGUGAGUGGAUGAAGGUAGGAUGGGCCUGCGGCGUAUCAGGUUGUAGGGGGUGUAAUGGACCUCCUAGCCAUCGACGCGUACGGGUGUUGGGAGACAUAGCCCGGAGAUGGAUUCUGAGACACGAAUCCAGGCCCUACGGGGCGCAGCAGUUACGAAAACUUGGCAAUGCGGGAAACCGUGACCAGGGAACUCCAAGUGAGUCUCUUUUAGGGGCUCUUUUCUUGACUCUAAAACGGUCUUGGAAUAAGGGGUGGGUAAGGACGGUGCCAGCCGCCGCGGUAAUACCGGCGCCUCAAGUGGUCGUCGCUUUUAUUGGGCCUAAAACGUCCGUAGCCGGUUUGGUACAUUCGUGGGUAAAUCAGCUCGCUCAACGAGUUGAAUUCUGCGAGGACGGCCAGACUAGGGACCGGGAGAGGUGUGGGGAACUCUCAGGGUAGGGGUAAAAUCCUGUCAUCCUGAGAGGACCACCUGUUGCGAAGGCGCCACACUAGAACGGAUCCGACGGUCAGGGACGAAGCCUAGGGGCACGAACCGGAUUAGAUACCCGGGUAGUCCUAGGUGUAAACGCUGUGGACUUGGUGUUGGGGAAGCCCAGAGCUUUCCCAGUGCCGUAGCGAAGGUGUUGAGUCCACUGCCUGGGGAGUACGGUCGCAAGGCUGAAACUU